RNAcentral lists this ribosomal RNA (273 nucleotides) under Triticum aestivum (bread wheat). RNAcentral describes it as "partial small subunit ribosomal RNA". Lineage: Eukaryota; Viridiplantae; Streptophyta; Magnoliopsida; Poales; Poaceae. The record is from RNAcentral.
AUGGCGUCUGCGGCGCUCCGUUCGGUGUUGUUGCGCGCGCAGCAGGUGGCGACGCGGCCGGGGCGCGCGUCAGAGUCGGUGCGCGUGGUGGCGGUGAACAAGACGAAGUCCGUGGGCGUCAUCCACGGCGUGUACGACGCCGGCCACCGCUGCUUCGGCUAGAACUACGUCCACGAGCUCAUCGACAAGGCCCCCCAGGUUGUACCCCCAGCUGAGAAGAAUGAAAUUUUUAUCCCCUUUCACCGCGUGAAAGAACUACUGAUUGGAACGUGA